This 59-nucleotide ribosomal RNA is filed under the name Monotropastrum humile. RNAcentral describes it as "partial 28S ribosomal RNA". The record is from RNAcentral. Lineage: Eukaryota; Viridiplantae; Streptophyta; Magnoliopsida; Ericales; Ericaceae.
GCGACCCCAGGUCAGUCGGGGAUCACCCGCUGAGUUUAAGCAUAUCAAUAAGCGGAGGA